GACGAACGCUGGCGGCGUGCUUAACACAUGCAAGUCGAACGGAAAGGCCCUGCUUUUGUGGGGUGCUCGAGUGGCGAACGGGUGAGUAACACGUGAGUAACCUGCCCUUGACUUUGGGAUAACUUCAGGAAACUGGGGCUAAUACCGGAUAGGAGCUCCUGCUGCAUGGUGGGGGUUGGAAAGUUUCGGCGGUUGGGGAUGGACUCGCGGCUUAUCAGCUUGUUGGUGGGGUAGUGGCUUACCAAGGCUUUGACGGGUAGCCGGCCUGAGAGGGUGACCGGCCACAUUGGGACUGAGAUCCGGCCCAGACUCCUACGGGAGCAGCAGUGGGGAAUAUUGCACAAUGGGCGGAAGCCUGAUGCAGCAACGCCGCGUGUGGGAUGACGGCCUUCGGGUUGUAAACCGCUUUCGCCUGUGACGAAGCGUGAGUGACGGUAAUGGGUAAAGAAGCACCGGCUAACUACGUG
This 467-nucleotide ribosomal RNA is filed under the name uncultured bacterium. Its description in RNAcentral is "partial 16S ribosomal RNA". It matches the Rfam family "Bacterial small subunit ribosomal RNA", at positions 28 to 507 of the family's 1533-position model. The record is from RNAcentral.